Non-coding RNA from Maylandia zebra (zebra mbuna), 389 nucleotides. Lineage: Eukaryota; Metazoa; Chordata; Actinopteri; Cichliformes; Cichlidae. The record is from RefSeq and is a predicted model, not a curated record.
ACCUCCUCCUGGUUCCACCUCCAUCACUCUUCCUCCAUCACUCUCUCCUCCUGUUCUCUCUGUGUUGUCAUGUGUUGGAUCAGUCUGUGUUGUGGUUCUACUGGUGUUACUGGUUCUGCUGGUGAGACGAUGUGUUCACAGGAAACGUGAAGCUGAACACGAGGCAAACAUGGGAAGUGACGUCAACACUGAAAUCACAUACGUCCAAAUAUCACAUCGCCAGCAGCAAAACAAAGACUUUAAAUCAGAGCCAGACGUGAUCUACUCUUCAUUGAAGUAGUCCACCAGUCCAACCGCUGACAUCCAGCUGCUGGUCUCUGACUGCCCCCCCCCGCACCUCAGACCAGAGGACAUCCAGACGUCACAGAGAUUUUUAUGUCUUUUUUCUA